AUAUCAAUAAGCGGAGGAAAAGAAACCAACAGGGAUUGCCUCAGUAACGGCGAGUGAAGCGGCAACAGCUCAAAUUUGAAAUCUGGCUUCUUUGAAGUCCGAGUUGUAAUUUGUAGAGGAUGUUUCGGCUCUGGCUCUGGUCUAAGUUCCUUGGAACAGGACGUCAUAGAGGGUGAGAAUCCCGUAUGUGAUUGGAAGUCAGUGGCCAUGUGAAACUCCUUCGACGAGUCGAGUUGUUUGGGAAUGCAGCUCAAAAUGGGUGGUAAAUUUCAUCUAAAGCUAAAUACUGGCCAGAGACCGAUAGCGCACAAGUAGAGUGAUCGAAAGAUGAAAAGCACUUUGGAAAGAGAGUUAAACAGUACGUGAAAUUGUUGAAAGGGAAGCGCUUGCAAUCAGACUUGCUUGCAGCCGAUCAUCUGGUGUUCUCACCAGUGCACUCGGUUGUGAUCAGGCCAGCAUCAGUUUGGACGGUUGGAUAAAGACCUUGGGAAUGUAGCUUCUUUCGAGGAGUGUUAUAGCCCCUGGUGCAAUGCAAUCAGUCUGGACUGAGGACCGCGCUUCGGCUAGGAUGCUGGCGUAAUGGUUGUAAGCGA
This 593-nucleotide ribosomal RNA is filed under the name uncultured fungus. RNAcentral's name for it is "eukaryotic LSU rRNA". It matches the Rfam family "Eukaryotic large subunit ribosomal RNA", at positions 40 to 647 of the family's 3401-position model. Lineage: Eukaryota; Fungi. The record is from RNAcentral.